AAUUUGUUAAAAUGAAUGUGAGUACAAAAGUUAGAAAUAGCAGACGUGAAAGUAUGUAAUAAUAAUACUGCAUCUUUUUCUAUAAUAUGAUACAUACACUGAUACAUGCACAUUUAUCAUCAGAAUACAUACUCCUCAACAUAUACACAUAUGAAUGGAAAAAGAGAAUUUUCUAUCAUUAAUUUCACACAUUACAUUUACACACACGUAGAAGGCAGAAUAGGAAAAAUUGAGUAAAAAUAGUGAAAACGCAGUAAAAUCAGUUGAAUCCGAUUAGAGUUCGCUGGAAAUCAAGCAAACUCCGGUCUCGGAUAACCAGAGUUCUCCUUUCGCCAGUCAGACGCCACGCCGGAGAACCCCAUCGGAACAAGUACACAUUGAUUUGUGAAAUUAGUAAACCACAAAACUACCAUUGCCACCGUCCCCAAAAAUCCACCGCCGGCGACGCCAUUAACGGCGAAGCCAUGGCCGGUGGUGCACGGACGCUGCUCAGCCUUCCCCUCCCCAAAUCCGGUGACUUUCAAUCGAACCAACAUCGCCGAAAAACUCCCCAGAAACGAGACAGUCGAGCCAUCGAUCUUCCCUUUCCUAGAUCUUUCACGGUACCACCGCUGCCGGCGCCUUCGCCGGUGCCACCUCUUCCUCUCAGUCUCCCUCUCGUCGCCACCAUAGAAAUAGAGAUUGAAGAGAGUCUAAAGUGAAAGAGAGAAAAAUUGAAGGUUAAUACUAGUACUAGGGGUAUACAUAAAAAAAAAUUAUAUAUUUUGUUUAAUGAUUAGUUAAAAGUGAAAUGGAAACAAAUUUAAUAUUUUUUUUGUUGUUUUGUAUUUUACUUACAAU
RNAcentral lists this long non-coding RNA (840 nucleotides) under Capsicum annuum. RNAcentral's name for it is "long non-coding RNA (CANN_LNC014822)". Lineage: Eukaryota; Viridiplantae; Streptophyta; Magnoliopsida; Solanales; Solanaceae. The record is from RNAcentral.